UGGGAAUCUUGGACAAUGGGGGAAACCCUGAUCCAGCCAUGCCGCGUGAGUGAUGAAGGCCUUCGGGUUGUAAAACUCUUUCGACGGGGACGAUAAUGACGGUACCCGUAGAAGAAGCUCCGGCUAACUUCGUGCCAGCAGCCGCGGUAAUACGAAGGGGGCUAGCGUUGUUCGGAAUUACUGGGCGUAAAGCGCGCGCAGGCGGUUCUCCAAGUCAGUGGUGAAAGCCCGGAGCUCAACUCCGGAAUUGCCAUUGAAACUGCAGAACGUGAGGACGAGAGAGGUGAGUGGAAUUCCCAGUGUAGAGGUGAAAUUCGUAGAUAUUGGGAAGAACACCGGUGGCGAAGGCGGCUCACUGGCUCGUUUCUGACGCUCAGGCGCGACAGCGUGGGGAUCAAAC
This 400-nucleotide ribosomal RNA is filed under the name uncultured bacterium. RNAcentral describes it as "bacterial SSU rRNA". It matches the Rfam family "Bacterial small subunit ribosomal RNA", at positions 356 to 773 of the family's 1533-position model. The record is from RNAcentral.